RNAcentral lists this ribosomal RNA (225 nucleotides) under uncultured bacterium. RNAcentral describes it as "partial 16S ribosomal RNA". It matches the Rfam family "Bacterial small subunit ribosomal RNA", at positions 109 to 334 of the family's 1533-position model. The record is from RNAcentral.
CGUAACGCGUAUGCAACCUACCUUGAACAGGGGGAUAGCCCGGAGAAAUCCGGAUUAAUACCGCAUAAGAUAACAGAUCAGCAUUGAUUAGUUCUUAAAGAUUUAUCGGUUCAAGAUGGGCAUGCGUGUCAUUAGCUAGUUGGUGAGGUAACGGCCCACCAAGGCGACGAUGACUAGGGGAUCUGAGAGGAUGACCCCCCACACUGGUACUGAGACACGGACCAG